RNAcentral lists this long non-coding RNA (1127 nucleotides) under Sorghum bicolor (sorghum). Its description in RNAcentral is "long non-coding RNA (SBIC_LNC007630)". The record is from RNAcentral. Lineage: Eukaryota; Viridiplantae; Streptophyta; Magnoliopsida; Poales; Poaceae.
UAGGUCAACCACCACGGUUAAUAGGAGAUUAACCAUGGCGGUUGUGUUAUAGUGACCGCCUCGGUUGACCUAUUAACUGAGGUGGUUGCUGGGCCGGCAGCCCAACCUAGAUUAACCGAGGCAAGCCACCAGCCUGCCCGCCUCCAAGGGUAAAAAAUAAAGGUCAUGGUAAAGUUUGUGUAGUAGUGGAGGCGUGUACAAGAUUUAUGAAGAAAUUGGUAGUUUUUGUGAAGAAAAGGAGGUAACAAGAAAUUGCACAUCAUAGAAGUGAUGGCUAUUAGAGUUAGGAAGAAACUAUUAGCUUUGAUCAAUCAAUCCAACAUUCUUAUAGUCCACCCAUUUCUGCCAACAAGAAACCGCAUUGAAUGCCUGCCUCCUACAUUCCUAGUUUUUUGCUUUCUCUCCCUCCUCCCAUUCAUGGAGCUCUAUAAUGUAAAUGUGAUAAAACCAUCCUAAAACCAAUGAGAGCCUAGCCACCUCGGGUAAUCAAUCCAAAUCAUGUAGAAGUUAUGACAACCCAACUCGAUCUGAGUGCAGCCAAACAAGCUGAUUGUGCUGUAUGAAUAUGGAUGAAUAGAGACAAAGAAAACAUGUUGAUCAAGUCGCCAUGGUCUUGAAACUGAUAUGAGCAGGUGAGCAUACUAAAAGAACAGAAAAUGUUAUUUACCCAAUGGGUUGAAGCUGAUGUCUCAGUGGCCUAAUCCGUUACUUUUUUAUAUCAGUCUUCAACAUCGAAUCUGUUAUUUACCCAAUGUGUUGAAGCUGAUGUCUCAGUGGCCUAGUCCUCCGUUACUUUUUUUAUAUCAGUGCUCAUAUAUAUGUCAAAUUUCCUGGCUACAACAAUUGCUGCAUGCAUGAGCAUAUGCCACUGAUUUAUCCAUGCAAUUAGUUGAAGAAAAUAAAUAUAAGUGAUGUAUUUUUGCCUGUUGAAAUUACUCGUGAUAACCAUAUAACAAGGACACAACACUACCGGAAUCUGGCUCUUUGCUCAAUGAUAAAUGGUUUGCCCAGUAUUUUUUUGGGCACUCAACAAAGAAGCUCUUUGCUGGCUGCUAAAAAAACACUCGGCCAAAAAAAACACUGGGCAAAGAGGCUUCUUUGCCAAGUAUAAAAAAACAAUCGGCAAG